AUUGAACGCUGGCGGCAGGCCUAACACAUGCAAGUCGAGCGAUCGGCGGACGGGUGAGUAAUGUAUGGGGACUGCCCGAUCGAGGGGGCUAACUACUGGAAACGGUGGCUAAUACCGCUUAAUAUCCGAUAACCCAUAUGGGAUUAGCUAGUAGGUGGGGUAACGGCUCACCUAGGCGACGAUCUCUAGCUGGUCUGAGAGGAUUAUCAGCCACACGGGGACUGAGACACGGCCCAGACUCCUACGGGGGCAGCAGUAGGGAAUGUUGCACAAUGGGCGAAAGCCGGAUGCGGCCAUGCAGCGUGUAUGAAGAAGGCCUUAGGAUGGUAAAGUACUUUCAGCAGGGAGGCGUUACCUGAAGAAGAAGCACCGGCUAACUACGUGCCAGCAGCCGCGGUAAUAC
Molecule: ribosomal RNA, 403 nt
Filed under: uncultured bacterium
Lineage: Bacteria
Description: partial 16S ribosomal RNA
Rfam family: Bacterial small subunit ribosomal RNA
Source: RNAcentral